This 451-nucleotide ribosomal RNA is filed under the name uncultured bacterium. RNAcentral describes it as "partial 16S ribosomal RNA". It matches the Rfam family "Bacterial small subunit ribosomal RNA", at positions 354 to 796 of the family's 1533-position model. The record is from RNAcentral.
GUGGGGAAUUUUGGACAAUGGGGGCAACCCUGAUCCAGCCAUGCCGCGUGUGUGAAGAAGGCCUUUUGGUUGUAAAGCACUUUAAGCGAGGAGGAGGCUACCGAGAUUAAUACUCUUGGAUAGUGGACGUUACUCGCAGAAUAAGCACCGGCUAACUCUGUGCCAGCAGCCGCGGUAAUACAGAGGGUGCAAGCGUUAAUCGGAUUUACUGGGCGUAAAGCGCGCGUAGGUGGCCAAUUAAGUCAAAUGUGAAAUCCCCGAGCUUAACUUGGGAAUUGCAUUCAAUACUGGGAAGAUAGAGUAUGGGAGAGGAUGGUAGAAUUCCAGGUGUAGCGGUGAAAUGCGUAGAGAUCUGGAGGAAUACCGAUGGCGAAGGCAGCCAUCUGGCCUAAUACUGACGCUGAGGCACGAAAGCAUGGGGAGCAAACAGGAUUAGAUACCCCGGUAGUCC